This 478-nucleotide ribosomal RNA is filed under the name uncultured bacterium. RNAcentral's name for it is "partial 16S ribosomal RNA". It matches the Rfam family "Bacterial small subunit ribosomal RNA", at positions 28 to 523 of the family's 1533-position model. The record is from RNAcentral.
GACGAACGCUGGCGGCGUGCUUAACACAUGCAAGUCGAACGGUAAGGCCCUUCGGGGUACACGAGUGGCGAACGGGUGAGUAACACGUGGGUGAUCUGCCCUGCACUUCGGGAUAAGCCUGGGAAACUGGGUCUAAUACCGGAUAGGACCACUGCCCGCAUGGGUGGUGGUGGAAAGCUUUUGCGGUGUGGGAUGGGCCCGCGGCCUAUCAGCUUGUUGGUGGGGUGAUGGCCUACCAAGGCGACGACGGGUAGCCGGCCUGAGAGGGUGACCGGCCACACUGGGACUGAGAUACGGCCCAGACGCCUACGGGAGGCAGCAGUGGGGAAUAUUGCACAAUGGGUGCAAGCCUGAUGCAGCGACGCCGCGUGAGGGAUGACGGCCUUCGGGUUGUAAACCUCUUUCAGCACCGACGAAGCGCAAGUGACGGUAGGUGCAGAAGAAGGACCGGCCAACUACGUGCCAGCCGCCGCCGUAA